CUUCGAGUCCAAGAAAGAUAAGUAUUUCCGCAUCUGUUCAGAACAUCCUGCAGGGCUCCCAGCUCGGCUAACUCUGUUCUCCCCGCCCCCUUCUGCUCUUCAAAGUCGCUUACUCACCGGCACCAAAUUUGCAUCACAAAGCCAGUUCUCCAUCCGUACAUUCUUUUAAAACUAGAAGUGACUGUCUUUCUGGCUGCAGAAGCUUUUCUAAGCUAGCGGGUAUUGCCAAAGGAAAGAUUCUUUAUCCUUUCAAUGAAGCAACAGACUAUUUCUCCAACUGUGCCCAGGCAUUCCUCAGCCAUCUCUGAAUGGGCUGGAUUGACAAAACAUCUCCCUCUUUGAACUAAUAAUAACCUCGAACAGUCACACUUGGAGCUAAAACAGAACUGAGAGCUACAGGAUACAGGCCCUGCAAGAGAUCAAAAGAAAAGCCAACAACACAAUAGCCUCUCCAAAGCACCAUCCUGGUCCUCCGUCUUUGCUCGUCUUAAGGUGAAACCUGCAGGUUCCAGUGGAUGAACAGCUCCCCUCCCAUCCAAUCCAGGUUUUCAUUCUGAAACUCAGAUCUCUAGUUCCCAGAAACCCUUGAAGAUCCUUGAGUUUUCUGCUAAAAGAAGCUCCGGGAAGAAACACACUCUAGAACAUGACUGUUCUCAAUAGCAAGAUUCUAGUGUCAUGGUGAAAACAUAUCUAUUCAACAUGAAACAUGGAAAUAAGAGUUCUAUCUCAUCAAAUUUCCACACUCACCAGCCAUUCAGGUCAUAGAUUACAGUUCAUGCUUAUUUUAAAACGUUUGAUAAAAAACAGAACUAG
Rattus norvegicus (Norway rat) is the source of this 813-nucleotide non-coding RNA. Lineage: Eukaryota; Metazoa; Chordata; Mammalia; Rodentia; Muridae. The record is from RefSeq and is a predicted model, not a curated record.